RNAcentral lists this ribosomal RNA (253 nucleotides) under uncultured bacterium. RNAcentral's name for it is "partial 16S ribosomal RNA". It matches the Rfam family "Bacterial small subunit ribosomal RNA", at positions 524 to 776 of the family's 1533-position model. The record is from RNAcentral.
UACGUAGGUGGCAAGCGUUGUCCGGAUUUAUUGGGUGUAAAGGGCGUGUAGGCGGGAGCGCAAGUCAGAUGUGAAAACUCAGGGCUCAACCCUGAGCCUGCAUUUGAAACUGUGUUUCUUGAGUGCUGGAGAGGCAAUCGGAAUUCCGUGUGUAGCGGUGAAAUGCGUAGAUAUACGGAGGAACACCAGUGGCGAAGGCGGAUUGCUGGACAGUAACUGACGCUGAGGCGCGAAAGCGUGGGGAGCAAACAGG